Molecule: long non-coding RNA, 1023 nt
Organism: Aedes aegypti (yellow fever mosquito)
Lineage: Eukaryota; Metazoa; Arthropoda; Insecta; Diptera; Culicidae
Exons: 3
Source: RefSeq, a predicted model, not a curated record
GCAACAACGAGUUAACAGAACUGCUGCUGCUGUUGGUGCCGCGCUAUGGAGGAGCUCAUCAAGAUGACUUAAAUUGGAAUCUUUUAGCUAGGUACGUUGCUACGCUGGAGAUGGAAGCACUCAACUCGACGCUUCUGCCGGAGCAUCCGCGCACACGAUAGAACAAGUUGUAAACUAAUAAAACUGAACUAGCAUUUUGGGAUGGGUUAUCGUUGAUUAAAAGCCAGAACACGGUGCGUGUUUCAUCUGGUGGAACAGCAAAGUUGGUGCCGUUCUGGAGGUGUAAUCGAGUUAAACGCAAUUAAGCAGGUGGAUAGCUGCAACGAAGUGGAUUACAUUAUAUUGUGGGACUCUGCCAGAGCGAGAGCCGAGGAAGGACAGUUCAACAGAAUGGGAACCCAAUUAUGCAGUUAUUAAUUCAUCAACCUGAAAUAACAAUUUCCGUUGAAGUGGCCCUAUCCUGAGUCAUCCCGAGACGGCUAGAGCUCCAUUUGCAUAGAUAAAAUAAACAAUCAAAUUACAGCGAGAAAGCAUAAUCUGCCCGAUGGGACGGCAGACAGGAAUCAUCUUUAUUUUCAUUCCCUCUCAAGGCUAAGUCAAGCGUUGUGAAAUUCUAGCAUCUCAGCCUAAAAGAAAAAAUUCAAAGGGAAGUUCAUUCCACAGUUUGCUUACAGUGGAAGAAGCAAAGAUUAUGCAUCGAAAAGACUGGCAACUCUCGGCUAAGAAGUUCAGAUCCUAGAAAUGAAGGAAAUGUAACGAUUUCGCCAUUCCUCUAAAACAUGCUGUCUCCAUUUAUAGGCAACUCCCAGAAGAGACCAUCGCUGAAGAACGCGAUUCGGGGUCACGAGCACGACGAUCCAAAACUGGGAAACGAUGACAGGCAGGAAAACGAAAACACAGAGAUAAAAAAAAGUUCAAAACCAUAUUCCGAUCCAGUCAAGUGGAAAAUAAAUGUUUUUCAUUGAUUUUUAUUCGCUUCCGCUAUUGAUAUCUCAAUCGACAAUUGAACUGGCAUUGGAAUUC